This 519-nucleotide ribosomal RNA is filed under the name uncultured bacterium. RNAcentral describes it as "bacterial SSU rRNA". It matches the Rfam family "Bacterial small subunit ribosomal RNA", at positions 94 to 630 of the family's 1533-position model. The record is from RNAcentral.
AGUGGCGAAAGGGGGCGUAACACGUGAGCAACCUGCCCCGAAGACCGGGAUACCGCCGGGAAACCGGUGCUAAUACCGGAUGUCCCCACCGGAUUCGCUUGGAUCUGUGAGGAAAUGGAUUCCGCUUCGGGAGGGGCUCGCGGCCAUCAGCUUGUUGGUGGGGUAACGGCCCACCAAGGCUACGACGGGUAGCUGGCCUGAGAGGACGAUCAGCCACACUGGGACUGAGACACGGCCCAGACUCCUACGGGAGGCAGCAGUGGGGAAUCUUGCGCAAUAGGCGAAAGCCUGACGCAGCAACGCCGCGUGGGGAAUGAAGGCUCUCGGGUUGUAAACCCCUUUCAGCAGGAACGAAAACAGACGGUACCUGCAGAAGAAGCCCCGGCCAACUACGUGCCAGCAGCCGCGGUGAUACGUAGGGGGCGAGCGUUGUCCGGAUUUAUUGGGCGUAAAGAGCUCGUAGGCGGCUCGGUAAGUCGGGUGUGAAACCUCCAGGCUCAACCUGGAGACGCCACUCGA